Molecule: long non-coding RNA, 1735 nt
Filed under: Aquilegia coerulea
Lineage: Eukaryota; Viridiplantae; Streptophyta; Magnoliopsida; Ranunculales; Ranunculaceae
Description: long non-coding RNA (ACOE_LNC001826)
Source: RNAcentral
UACUUAGUAGAAUAUAUAUUAGAUACAAACAAUACAAAGAUCAGAUCAAAUAUCAAAGAUGAUGAUGAUGAUGAAGAAGAAGCACAAGAGCUGUUUGAUGUCAAUAAACUUGGUUGUUCUCCCUAAUGAGAUCAUUGAAGAUAUACUCACAAGACUCCCAGUUAAGUCUCUUCUUCGAUUCAAGUGUGUAUCCAAAUCAUGGUGUCAAUUAUUUACAACCGAUUCUUUUAUUAGAAACCAUUUUCUUCGUUGGAGCAACAACCCCAAACUCAUGUUACUUCAUAUCACUCCUGAACAACUUUCAUCAGACCAGUUAGGUGCUGGAGCUAUUGUGUAUUCAUUACAAUAUUAUGGUAAAAGACAUCAUCAGCAAAUUCUUGCUGAGAUUCCCAGUUCAAGUAGUUUAGAUAUUCGAAUGUUUUACGGUUCUUGUAAUGGAUUGGUAUGCGUGUGCAGCAACAACACCAUAUACUUGUGGAAUCCAUCUACUAGAGUAUACAAGGUAGUAAAACUCAACAUACCUGGACCUCUUCAUACUUAUGGAUCCGAAUGUUGGUGUCAAUUUACUACUUAUGGUUUUGGUUACAAUAAAAUUGCUAAGGAUUAUGAGCUUAUUAAAAUCAAUGCCUACUAUAAACCAAAUCGUUUCUCGCGCUCCAGUGGAAAAUCUUUCUCGCGCUUCAGUAUUUACUCCUUACGCAAUAAUUCAUGGGGACCUUUUCAAGACAUGGCACCUUACAGAGUAAUGACACCAACAAAGGGGGAACUUAUUAAUGAUGCUCUUCAUUGGGUAGGGUCUAAAUCCAACUCAGUAAUUGCUUUUGACAUUGCCAAUAGAAAGUUUCAGGAGUUUUCAAUGCCCACAAACGAUGAACAUUCUUUUUUGCCUAUUAAUCCUAUUAUUAGUGUUGUAUCCAUGAAUGAGUGUCUCUCCGUAGCGCUCGUAUGUGAAGAUUGGAUUGAGGUGUGGAUGAUGAAGGACUAUGGUGUGAAGGAUUCCUGGACCAAGGUGAUUAAGAUUGAUGCUCGAAUAUUCACUCAUGGCCCAUACGCCAUGUUAAAAUGCUUUGCAAUGAAUAUUGCUACACACAGAAUGAGUGAUCAUGAUAUGGGCACCUAUGCUCUUGACGGGUUCUUGAGAAAAUUAGGAGGAGGCAACCGCAUGGUAGAGGAAGUCAUUCCCCAGUCUUCCUCAACAACAAUCUACACCGAAAGCCUCGCCCUACUGCAAUGACAUAACGAUGUUUGACAGUUUUGAUUGAAGCCAGUUUACUUUAAAAAUUGUUUCUUUCUCUGAGGGUUUUUCACAGUUUCACUACAACAACCUUAAAUAGUUUACACAGUUUCACUACAACAACCUUAAAUAGUUUCACAGUUUCUUUUUCGAAUCCCGCCAGCAUUACCGAGUUACUGAUCUCAUUAAAAACAGGCUUACCACCAAAUUUUUUUGCAGGUGUCAGUUGGGCUCAACUGGUAAAAUCUCUGGGUGAUGAUACCAGAGGUCUGGGGUUCGAAUCCCGCCAGCAUUACCGAGUUACUGAUCUCAUUAAAAACAGGCUUACCAAACCAUUUCGGGGUAGGGGACCCUGUCAACAACCCCGCUUGCCUAUCAAAAAAAAAAAAAAACCUUAAAUAGUUUACACUAGCUUUAUAUAAAAGGUUAACUUGUAAUUGUACUUGCUACUUACUUUAUCUAAUUUUAAAUGUUAUUGGCUGGAAUUAAUUUGGUGCUUAA